GAUGAACGCUGGCGGCGUGCCUAAUACAUGCAAGUCGAGCGAACGGACGAGAAGCUUGCUUCUCUGAUGUUAGCGGCGGACGGGUGAGUAACACGUGGAUAACCUACCUAUAAGACUGGGAUAACUUCGGGAAACCGGAGCUAAUACCGGAUAAUAUUUUGAACCGCAUGGUUCAAAAGUGAAAGACGGUCUUGCUGUCACUUAUAGAUGGAUCCGCGCUGCAUUAGCUAGUUGGUAAGGUAACGGCUUACCAAGGCAACGAUGCAUAGCCGACCUGAGAGGGUGAUCGGCCACACUGGAACUGAGACACGGUCCAGACUCCUACGGGAGGCAGCAGUAGGGAAUCUUCCGCAAUGGGCGAAAGCCUGACGGAGCAACGCCGCGUGAGUGAUGAAGGUCUUCGGAUCGUANAACUCUGUUAUUAGGGAAGAACAUAUGUGUAAGUAACUGUGCACAUCUUGACGGUACCUAAUCAGAAAGCCACGGCUAACUACGUGCCAGCAGCCGCGGUAAUACGUAGGUGGCAAGCGUUAUCCGGAAUUAUUGGGCGUAAAGCGCGCGUAGGCGGUUUUUUAGUCUGAUGUGAAAGCCCACGGCUCAACCGUGGAGGGUCAUUGGAAACUGGAAAACUUGAGUGCAGAAGAGGAAAGUGGAAUUCCAUGUGUAGCGGUGAAAUGCGCAGAGAUAUGGAGGAACACCAGUGGCGAAGGCGACUUUCUGGUCUGUAACUGACGCUGAUGUGCGAAAGCGUGGGGAUCAAACAGGAUUAGAUACCCUGGUAGUCCACGCCGUAAACGAUGAGUGCUAAGUGUUAGGGGGUUUCCGCCCCUUAGUGCUGCAGCUAACGCAUUAAGCACUCCGCCUGGGGAGUACGACCGCAAGGUUGAAACUCAAAGGAAUUGACGGGGACCCGCACAAGCGGUGGAGCAUGUGGUUUAAUUCGAAGCAACGCGAAGAACCUUACCAAAUCUUGACAUCCUUUGACAACUCUAGAGAUAGAGCCUUCCCCUUCGGGGGACAAAGUGACAGGUGGUGCAUGGUUGUCGUCAGCUCGUGUCGUGAGAUGUUGGGUUAAGUCCCGCAACGAGCGCAACCCUUAAGCUUAGUUGCCAUCAUUAAGUUGGGCACUCUAAGUUGACUGCCGGUGACAAACCGGAGGAAGGUGGGGAUGACGUCAAAUCAUCAUGCCCCUUAUGAUUUGGGCUACACACGUGCUACAAUGGACAAUACAAAGGGCAGCGAAACCGCGAGGUCAAGCAAAUCCCAUAAAGUUGUUCUCAGUUCGGAUUGUAGUCUGCAACUCGACUACAUGAAGCUGGAAUCGCUAGUAAUCGUAGAUCAGCAUGCUACGGUGAAUACGUUCCCGGGUCU
RNAcentral lists this ribosomal RNA (1371 nucleotides) under uncultured bacterium. RNAcentral's name for it is "bacterial SSU rRNA". It matches the Rfam family "Bacterial small subunit ribosomal RNA", at positions 28 to 1381 of the family's 1533-position model. The record is from RNAcentral.